AUGCUUGAAAAUAAAACUGACAACAACAAAGGCUUGUUCACGGCCUUUACUGUUACUUACUAAAUAAUACUUAUAAUAAUAAAACUUACUUAAUAAAUAGCUUAAAACUAAAUAACAACUACAACGAAAAAACAAUUGUCUGUAAAUAACUAUAUCCAACAAGUGUAAAUAACUAUAUCUAUAUAUCUUCCAUCUUGCUAUAACCAAACAAUGAAUGAAAAUGUGUAAAUAUCACAGAUGAGUUUGAUUGUAUGUAAAUAUGUAAAUAUAUGUAAAGAAAUGUUGAUAAACGAAUGACAGACCACUUUGUUCUGAUUGUAACCUAACCUAACCUAACAUAAAAAAUUAAAUGUAAAAUAAAACGAUAUGAGCUGUGCUCGUUUUCUUCAUCCACGGUGUGUUCCAGUCGUUGAUUUAAUGAAAAAAGCAGGCAUGGCAAAUGGGGCUGAUUCGUUGUCGAUUGUUUCAUUAAUAAUGGCAACUGGAGAAAGUUCUUUGGCCACUGUCGGGGAGAUAGUGAACCAGAUUGGAAAGGCGUAUGUCAACACUAGUCUCACAGCCACUUUAUACACUAAUAACAUCUUUCCUGCAUGUGUAUUGAAUCUCAACAUUUUGUCAAAUGCUACUCCAAGGUAUUUGACUCUGGAUUCUACAGGAUUGCUGACUACAUUGAGGGUAAUUUUCAGUGUCUUGCUCUGGGGUACCACAUACCUUGGACAUUUACCAGAGGCAUUCCGUAUGCAGAUUGCCCGGGAUUUAGCGGCAUUAAUUGUAAUACCUCAAGUUUCAUAAUACUGGUUAAUUCGCCUUAGAUGAGCUGCUAAUCUCUCAAGAGCAAUUUCGGAAGAUUUUUCAUGUACAUAUAUUAAGCAAUCAUCUGCAUAGAGAGUGGCCUACGAAUCAACCGCUGUGUGAGAAAAGUCAUGGUUGACAAAGUGGUAAUUAUUUUGAUUAUGAACAGCACCAAAAUCAUCAUCAAAUGCGACGAGGAAUGGCAUUUGUGAAAUUCUAAAUUCUGGAUUACAAAUCUUCACCUUAAUAAUAGUCUUUAUCAGUUUAAUUUAUUUGGAUAUAACAACAUAUUCACCACUUAUCCGGUUCCCCGUUAGAUGAAAAAUCUUAUUCAAUUCCUUUUGCCAUGUGUGUUUAAUUUGCCUUUUCAGAAAGAGGAAAUUUAUUGCCUUGGAUAAGGUUUUGUUUGGUAUGGGCGUUGUUUAUGGAAUUGAAAGAGAAUUUGAAAUCGUCUUUUAAGGAAUCGAUCUCGUGAUCUUCAAGAUUUGAUGAAGAAAGGGGCAUACUGCAAUGAGAUGCCCAUGAGAGUCCAUAUCUUGUACAAAAUUAGACCAAUUUGUAUCUUUAUAGGAGGAAUAUGUUCGGGCUGAUCUCAUUAAAAGUUCCGGUUGAUCAACACGAAGAGUUAGUUUAAUAGGAAAAUGAUCAGAGAAAGACGAUAAUGUUGAGAUUUGAAUGUUUGGCACGGUUCCGUUCAAUAGUUGUGGGCUUAACAAAACGUGAUCUAAAAAUUAUGAACCAUUUGGAUAUGAAGGCGAUGCGUCACAAUGGCGACUCACGUCGAGUCUAUUAGCCUUACGCCAUUUCCGUAGUCUUUCCAUUCAUAUUCUCAAGUUGAUCACCCCAAAAAUGACUUUGAGAAUUCAAAUCCCCUUCAAAAAUAAAUUCGUCGAAAUUGCCACAGAGCUGUAAGAGUUUUGACCAAUUCACCCCAAAUCUCUGAGGGUGAUAAUUGCAUAUACAUAUAUUGAUCCAAUUAAACAUUUUUUCCGUGUAUCAUUAUUCAGGAAUUCUAUUUGCAGGAGUGCCGUAUUAAAGCCAACGUCAUUUAAAAAGACACUAUUAAAUUGAAUUGAAUCCCUUUUAACAACGGCAACGCCGACCGUUGUAUUAUCGUAGACAAAAUUGUUACCAUCGUAUUUAACCCUUAUUUUUCCUUCAGGUGGCAUUGCUGAAUAAAGCCAAUGUCGAUUCGAUUGCGAUGGAAAGUAUCCUUUAGGUCUAUUUGUCGACUGGUAUCGACAAGAGAUCUUACAUUGUAAGUUAGAAAUUUCAUGAUCCCAUCGUCCAUAAUUAAUCCUUACUUUGUUCAACUGGCGCAAAAAUUCUUCUUUGGUCUCGGGUUUUGGCAUGUCUGAAUAUUCAGAAAGAAAAAUGUUGACCUCUUGCUCCAAGGUCCAUUCUUCCAGAUCCAGGAAAAGUCAUCCCAAUUUUAAAAAUUGGUCAAUCAGUGGUGGUUUAUGUUGUGGCCCCUUUGUUGCGUGAUACGAGGUUGGAAUAAGUUGGAGAAUUUCUGGCCUGGUAUUACCAAGGACAUAUUUACAGCUCUAUUUACAUUGGCUUUGGCAAGCUCCUUCUCCUUAAUGGUCAUAGAUAUUCAUUGCAUGCGGCAGCAACGUAUUUCCUGUAAGUUGGGCAUCCCCGCCAGUUUGCCGGAUGGCCCGUCUCACCACAAUUGUUGCCGAAGGGAUCACUUGAGUCAUCCUUUGUACGCUGACAUCCACUGGACCAUGCUGUUUAUCACAUUUUACACAAUUAUAACUGAACUGCAAUUCUUUGAGAUGUUUCCCCACCGUUGGCCCUUCUACAUUGAAUUUCGGAAUCUUUUUUUUUCUUGGUUUUUCCCACGAAACAAUUUGGUAUUAUAUAGCCCUUACAUUACAGAUAUCAGAAAGCUUUUUCGCAGCAAUAGCGAAACUAAAAACAGACCUGCAUCUGUAUUCCUUUGAGUUUUAUAAUUUAUAACCUUUGCAAUUGUAUUCGGGACAACUUCAUCUAACUCUGCCUUUAUAUCUUCCGUUUCAGUGCUGGAAGCCAGAUCUCUCAGUAUGAAAAAUGGCUGUUUUAAUUCCUUGGGUGUAAACGAGUAAGAGUGGAUGCUUUUUUCUCGCAGAAGUGCCAUCAUUGAAGAAUGGACAGAUGGACCAAAAAAAAAUAAUUUACUUUUAUUCUUAUUAAUAUUUUUUACCUUAAAAGAAAAUUUCGAUAUAUUUUCCUUCAAGGUGUCAACAAGAGCCAUGAUGUUGACGUUGUAAAUAAAAAUUGGUCAGCACCAUUUCGAUUUUGUCUCA
Molecule: RNA transcript, 3083 nt
Organism: Stomoxys calcitrans (stable fly)
Lineage: Eukaryota; Metazoa; Arthropoda; Insecta; Diptera; Muscidae
Exons: 5
Source: RefSeq, a predicted model, not a curated record